Andrographis paniculata is the source of this 1241-nucleotide long non-coding RNA. RefSeq lists it as uncharacterized. The transcript is spliced from 2 exons. The record is from RefSeq and is a predicted model, not a curated record. NCBI's taxonomy places the organism in Eukaryota, Viridiplantae, Streptophyta, Magnoliopsida, Lamiales, Acanthaceae.
UUUGUUACACAUUUUUUGACCGUACAAUACGAUAAGCAAAACGGCCUUCGGCGUCGUCUAUAUAAAGUCUAGCUAGGGUUCUUCCUUCUUCACCCAAAAUCCCAACUCAGUCUCAGAGGCAGCGCAGCGGAGAGUUCUGCGGGAGUUGUUGCAAGGGUUGUUGCCCCUCUCCGCCUGUCCAUGAUGCCCCGACAUCUCAUCGGAUAAUUAUUCCGAUCGAUCAUCAACAACCCUCUCUACGCCGCCGCACCAUUGCGCGCGCGCUGUGUUUAUUCCGUCCUCGUCUUCGUCUUCCUCUUCUUCUUCUUCUUCUUCUUCGGUUCGCUUGAGUGUUACGCUGCGCUCCUAAGUACUACCGUCGGGAAAAUGGCUGUGAUGAUAAGAUAGUCUCUGAGUUGGGUCGGGCGGGGAUGAUGCGACCCGUAUCUUGGCGGGGCGGGUUCGGAUCAUUUGAGUCCGGAUUCCGCAGCCAUGGCGGCGUUGCCCUCCCUUCGCCCGUCGUUUUCCAGAUCUGAGCCUUUCCCGUAACUGUUUUUUUUUUUUCGUAGCUUUUUGGUUACCUUUCUGCAUUUUGGAACUCUGCUUCUUCAUUUGUAAAUUUGGCCAUUUCCUUGUGUAAGACUGUCUUGACUCUUGACUAUAUUUUUUAUUUUUGAAAAAAAAAUAUACGAUGAACAGUAUAUAUGAUUUGUUUUAUAGCUAAUAUAAAUAUUAUAUAUAUAUAUAUAUAUAUAAAUAUGGCGAGGUAGUCCGUGGACCUAUAAAAGGGCAGGAAAGCAAUUUGGGUUUGGUAUCCAUUCUUUUUCCUGCUCCCAGAAUGAGGCGGCGGAGAGGGAUUUUCUAAGGGUGGUUGCCCCUCUCUGUUCGUCUGUGAUUUCACUUUCCUCUCGAAGCCCUAACAGCCCUGACUUGCUUUGCUUGCCUUUUCCAUGGUUAUGGAACCCUGAGAUUCCACAACCUUAACAAGAAUCAUGUUUCCUAAUGUGCUUCUUCUGGCUAUGCUUAUACUUGCUAGCUAAUUACAUUCUUUCUUGUUAUGGGACGGACGGAGUAUUAUUAUUAUUAUUAUUAUUCAUCUUUUGCUCGUUCUUGGAGAAGGCUGUGAUGAUGAUUUUCUAAGGGAGCGGGAGAUUCUGGCAAGAUGUAACCGGACCGUAUCUUGGCGUGGCAACCGAGUAUCUCGGAUUUGCAGCCAUGGCGGUUUUGGGCAUCUGCCAGAUUCAACACAGAUCUGAGCCUCA